GACGAACCGUGCGAACGUUGUUCGGAAUCACUGGGCUUAAAGGGCGCGUAGGCGGGUGUGCAAGUCUGUGGUGAAAGCCUCCAGCUUAACUGGAGAAGUGCCAUGGAUACUGCACAUCUUGAGGAGGGUAGGGGCAUCUGGAACGGUCGGUGGAGCGGUGAAAUGCGUUGAUAUCGACCGGAACUCCGGUGGCGAAGGCGGCUUUCUGGCCUGUUCUUGACGCUGAGGCGCGAAAGCUAGGGGAGCAAACGGG
This 253-nucleotide ribosomal RNA is filed under the name uncultured bacterium. RNAcentral's name for it is "partial 16S ribosomal RNA". It matches the Rfam family "Bacterial small subunit ribosomal RNA", at positions 524 to 776 of the family's 1533-position model. The record is from RNAcentral.